RNAcentral lists this ribosomal RNA (497 nucleotides) under uncultured bacterium. RNAcentral describes it as "partial 16S ribosomal RNA". It matches the Rfam family "Bacterial small subunit ribosomal RNA", at positions 28 to 507 of the family's 1533-position model. The record is from RNAcentral.
GAUGAACGCUGGCGGCGUGCCUAAUACAUGCAAGUCGAGCGAACGGACGAGAAGCUUGCUUCUCUGAUGUUAGCGGCGGACGGGUGAGUAACACGUGGAUAACCUACCUAUAAGACUGGGAUAACUUCGGGAAACCGUAGCUAAUACCGGAUAAUAUUUUGAACCGCAUGGUUCAAAAGUGAAAGACGGUCUUGCUGUCACUUAUAGAUGGAUCCGCGCUGCAUUAGCUAGUUGGUAAGGUAACGGCUUACCAAGGCAACGAUGCAUAGCCGACCUGAGAGUGGGAGCGUCCCCACCGGAAGAGAGUCACGGGCCACACUCGGACUGGGAGCCGGAGCAGGCUCUCACCGGCAACAGGCGUAAGCAUGACUGCGCAACGCGGCGUGGGCUAAGACAGUCUCCGGACCUGAAGACUCACUUACUUGGGAAUGACAUCUUUGUAAGGCACUGAACACGCCUUGGCGGUGGUUCAUCAGAAAACCACGGCUAAUAACUUC